GUAGUGAUAUGCUUGUUUCAAAGAUUAAGCCAUGCAUGUCUAAGUAUAAGCGAACUUAUACAGUGAAACUGCGGAUGGCUCAUUAAAACAGUUUGAAUUUAUUUGAUGAAUGUAUGAGAAUACUACUCGGAUAACCGUAGUAAUUCUAGAGCUAAUACAUGCAACGACGCCCGACCGUUUCACUACGGAAGGGCUGUAUUUAUUGGAUACCAAAACCAUCCUUCCCUCGGGAAGUUUUGUUUGAUGAUUCACAAUAACUGAUCGGAUCGCCACUGUGGUGGCGACAGGUCACUCAACAUUCUGCCCUAUCAGCUUUCGAUGGUUGUGUAGUGGACAACCAUGGCCAUAACGGGUAACGGAGAAUCAGGGUUCGAUUCCGGAGAAGGAGCUUGAGAAUUGGCUACUACAUCUAAGGAAGGCAGCAGGCGCGCAAAUUACCCAAUCCCGAUUCGGGGAGGUAGUGACAAAAAAUAACAAUACCGGGCCUUUUUGGGCUUGGUAAUUGGAAUGAGGGAGAGUUAAACGGACCAUCGAGUAUCCAUUGGAGGGCAAGUCUGGUGCCAGCAGCUGCGGUAAUACCAGCUCCAAUAGCGUAUAUUAAAGUUGUUGCAGUUAAAAAGCUCGUAGUUGGACUUGUGUGCGCUGUCCGCGGGUGGCCUGCGCCCAAAAGGGCGUUUCGGUUCGGCCCCGGUGGCGCCUUGAAAUCUGCAGCUGGGGGGACGUUGGCCUUAACUGGUCGGCGACCGCACGCCGGCUGCUCGGUUACUGUGAGAAAAUUAGAGUGUUCAAGGCAGGCAUUGGGUGCAAUUGAAUACAUUAGCAUGGAAUAAUAAAAUAUGGCUCCUGCCGUAUUUUGUUGGUUUUGACUGGUGGGAGUAAUGAUUGAUAGGGACGGUUGGGGGUGCUAGUAUUGAGCGGCCAGAGGUGAAAUUCAUGGAUUCGCUCAAGACUAACUUAUGCGAAAGCAUUCACCAAGGACGUCCUCUUUAAUCAAGAACGAAAGUUGGGGGAUCGAAGACGAUCAGAUACCGUCGUAGUCUCAACCAUAAACUAUGUCGACUUGGGAUCGGCGGUAGUUUUUUCAUUAAGACACUGUCGGGACCACGGGAGAAAUCAAAGUGUCUGGACUCUGGGGGAAGUAUGGUCGCAAGGCUGAAACUUGAAGGAAUUGACGGAAGGGCACCACCAGGAGUGGAGCCUGCGGCUUAAUUUGACCCAACACGGGGAAACUUACCAGGUCCAGAGAUAUAGAGGAUUGACAGAUUGAAGCUCUUUCUUGAUCACUUCGGUGGUGGUGCAUGGCCGUUCUUAGUUGGUGGAGUGAUUUGUCUGGUUAAUUCCGUUAACGAACGAGACCUCAGCCUGCUAGUGUAGUCGGCUGGAUC
This 1385-nucleotide ribosomal RNA is filed under the name metagenome. RNAcentral's name for it is "SSU rRNA". It matches the Rfam family "Eukaryotic small subunit ribosomal RNA", at positions 20 to 1369 of the family's 1831-position model. The record is from RNAcentral.